GGAGAGAUGCGAGAGCGGUUGAAUCGGACGGACUCGAAAUCCGUUGUACCGUUUACGGUACCGAGGGUUCGAAUCCCUCUCUCUCCG
Transfer RNA from Sediminispirochaeta smaragdinae DSM 11293, 87 nucleotides. It matches the Rfam family "tRNA". From Rfam's summary of the family: Transfer RNA (tRNA) molecules are approximately 80 nucleotides in length. Their secondary structure includes four short double-helical elements and three loops (D, anti-codon, and T loops). Further hydrogen bonds mediate the characteristic L-shaped molecular structure. tRNAs have two regions of fundamental functional importance: the anti-codon, which is responsible for specific mRNA codon recognition, and the 3' end, to which the tRNAs corresponding amino acid is attached (by aminoacyl-tRNA synthetases). tRNAs cope with the degeneracy of the genetic code in two manners: having more than one tRNA (with a specific anti-codon) for a particular amino acid; and 'wobble' base-pairing, i.e. permitting non-standard base-pairing at the 3rd anti-codon position. The record is from Rfam. NCBI's taxonomy places the organism in Bacteria, Pseudomonadati, Spirochaetota, Spirochaetia, Spirochaetales, Spirochaetaceae.